RNAcentral lists this ribosomal RNA (453 nucleotides) under Bacillus sp. R-31306. RNAcentral's name for it is "bacterial SSU rRNA". It matches the Rfam family "Bacterial small subunit ribosomal RNA", at positions 33 to 479 of the family's 1533-position model. The record is from RNAcentral. Lineage: Bacteria; Bacillati; Bacillota; Bacilli; Caryophanales; Bacillaceae.
ACGCUGGCGGCGUGCCUAAUACAUGCAAGUCGAGCGGACAGAUGGGAGCUUGCUCCCUGAUGUUAGCGGCGGACGGGUGAGUAACACGUGGGUAACCUGCCUGUAAGACUGGGAUAACUCCGGGAAACCGGGGCUAAUACCGGAUGGUUGUUUGAACCGCAUGGUUCAAACAUAAAAGGUGGCUUCGGCUACCACUUACAGAUGGACCCGCGGCGCAUUAGCUAGUUGGUGAGGUAAYGGCUCACCAAGGCRACGAUGCGUAGCCGACCUGAGAGGGUGAUCGGCCACACUGGGACUGAGACACGGCCCAGACUCCUACGGGAGGCAGCAGUAGGGAAUCUUCCGCAAUGGACGAAAGUCUGACGGAGCAACGCCGCGUGAGUGAUGAAGGUUUUCGGAUCGUAAAGCUCUGUUGUUAGGGAAGAACAAGUACCGUUCGAAUAGGGCGGUACC